This is a long non-coding RNA of Esox lucius (northern pike), 438 nucleotides long. NCBI's taxonomy places the organism in Eukaryota, Metazoa, Chordata, Actinopteri, Esociformes, Esocidae. The record is from Ensembl.
CAGACCUUUCCCUGACAUUCUCUUUUGUCACCCUGUUUGAUUUGUGUUUGUCAUUGACUUAGAUGACCAGAGAAACUCCCCAUACGAUAAUUUGUGUGCCUUGCCUCAAGCCCACGCCAACCUAUCCCACACCACCACCAGCGGACACAGGCACAGCUGUGGAGUCAAAGCUGUUACCGGGACAGAAGGCUUCUUCGUCUCCUCAUACAAUGGCAGAGGCCUGGUGAGGAAGCCAACCCAGGAGAACUGUGGGCCUAGGAGGAGAGGAGCACCUGGUUCAGGGAACAGAAGGCUUCCUCUUCCAUCCCAGUCACAGGUACACUUCAACUGUAAGUGACGGAAUCUCCUUUGUUGUUCUCCCCACUGUGCAUCAAGCAAAAAUGGGAAAACAUUUCACUUUCAAAACUACAGCAGUUGGUCUCCUCAGUUCCCAAACGC